This 139-nucleotide unclassified non-coding RNA is filed under the name uncultured fungus. Its description in RNAcentral is "sequence contains ITS1". Lineage: Eukaryota; Fungi. The record is from RNAcentral.
CAAAAGACUCUGGCGCCGGAUACAGACCUGCUGGAAAGCAUCUGUGAGAGCGACCAUUCGGUUCCGCACAUGCUGGGAGGGACCGGGUUCCGGCUGCCGACGGAGGUCCUCUCGCGCUAUACGGGGACGUACGAGAUGG